UACAGAGAGGGCAAGCGUUGUCCGGAAUGAUUGGGCGUAAAGCGUCCGCAGGUGGCUAUGUAAGUCCGCUGUUAAAGAGUCUAGCUUAACUAGAUAAAGGCAGUGGAAACUACAUUGGCUAGAGUGCGUUCGGGGCAGAGGGAAUUCCUGGUGUAGCGGUGAAAUGCGUAGAGAUCAGGAAGAACACCGGUGGCGAAAGCGCUCUGCUAGGCCGCAACUGACACUGAGGGACGAAAGCUAGGGGAGCGAAUGGG
RNAcentral lists this ribosomal RNA (254 nucleotides) under uncultured bacterium. RNAcentral describes it as "partial 16S ribosomal RNA". It matches the Rfam family "Bacterial small subunit ribosomal RNA", at positions 524 to 776 of the family's 1533-position model. The record is from RNAcentral.